Molecule: ribosomal RNA, 213 nt
Filed under: uncultured bacterium
Lineage: Bacteria
Description: partial 16S ribosomal RNA
Rfam family: Bacterial small subunit ribosomal RNA
Source: RNAcentral
AUCCAACCUGCCGUCUACUCUUGACAGCCUUCUGAAAGGAAGAUUAAUACAAGAUGGCAUCAUGAGUCCGCAUGUUCACAUGAUUAAAGGUAUUCCGGUAGACGAUGGGGAUGCGUUCCAUUAGAUAGUAGGCGGGGUAACGGCCCACCUAGUCUUCGAUGGAUAGGGGUUCUGAGAGGAAGGUCCCCCACAUUGGACUGAGACACGGUCCAA